Oryctolagus cuniculus (rabbit) is the source of this 1709-nucleotide long non-coding RNA. The record is from Ensembl. Lineage: Eukaryota; Metazoa; Chordata; Mammalia; Lagomorpha; Leporidae.
GGCUCCCUCACUCCCAUAUAGGGUACAGCCAGCACUCAGGGCUCCCUCACUCCCGUAUAGGGUGCUGCCAGGACUCAGGGCUCCCUCAUUCCCAUACAGGGUGCAGCCAGCACUCAGGGCUCCCUCACUCCCAUAUAGGGUACAGCCAGGACUCAGGGUUCCCUCACUCCCGUAUAGGGUACAGCCAGCACUCAGGGCUCCCUCACUCCCAUAUAGGUGCAGCCAGCACUCAGGGCUCCCUCACUCCCAUACAGGGUACAGCCAGGACUCAGGGCUCCCUCACUCCCAUAUAGGGUGCUGCCAGCACUCAGGGCUUCCUCACUCCCAUAUAGGGUGCAGCCAGCACUCAGGGCUCCCUCACUCCCAUAUAGGGUACAGCCAGCACUCAGGGCUCCCUCACUCCCAUAUAGGGUGCAGCCAGGACUCAGGGCUCCCUCACUCCCAUAUAGGGAACAGCCAGCACUCAGGGCUCCCUCACUCCCGUAUAGGGUACAGCCAGCACUCAGGGCUCCCUCACUCCCAUAUAGGGUGCAGCCAGCACUCAGGGCUCCCUCACUCCCAUAUAGGUGCAGCCAUCUGGAGCAGAGAGCUGGCCCUGUACCACACGUCCAGCCCUAGAGCGUCUGUGUGUUCCAGAUCUUAAUGAGAGUUUUCAGCGACAGUGGUGGGCAACCACCCAGCACUCAAGAGAAAGACAGGCAGAUGGGGGCGUGGGGGGCAGGAGAGAGAGAGAGAGAGAGAGCACACACGGAGCGUUAGGUGGCUCUGCUCCCCUUUCCCACGUGCAGGACUGGAGUCCUCAGGGGCUCUUCCACCCGCACUGCAUUACUGCCCACCUCACGUUUCCAUUUGUUUCUUUGCAGACGAGGAUUUAAGUGAUUUUUGCUUUCUUUCUCCUCUUAGAACAGGUCCCACCAGCUUUGCCCCCUGUAAACGAAGGGCUUCUCAGGCCCUAGGGUGAGCACAGGGAGUUACUCCCAGGAGGGCAUCUGCUGGGGACCCGAGCUGCUGUCACACUGGAGUGGAGCUGUUUGUCUCUGGUGAGAUCGGCAUUCAUCCCAGCUCCUGGGCCAGAGCAGGGCCAGGUAGAGCAAAGGCAGGCCUGAGUGCACCAGGUCUCUCCACUCCAGCCGGGCGUCCUUACAGCCCCUCCUCCCCUCGAGGGUGCCCGUGCCAGAGUCACAAUGGCACAGGUCCACAGGCCAUUGUGUCCACAGGGAGCCGGCAUCAAGAUGCAGUCUCACUCACUGUGGAAGAGGAAACACUGGGCGUAACCCUGCCACAUAACAGGACCUGCACACUGCACAGUCCGUGUCAAGGAAGCCCAUCCGAAGCAAAACUCAAGGGAGUGGAGGACACAGACAGUGCUCAAAGCUGACAAGAUUCAACAUGGCCAAGACGAAAAUUCCCCCCACAUCCCGCUGCAGUCUCGAUGCAGUUCCCAUCAAGGCCUCAGCCAGGUUUCCCACAGACAAACACAAGCUUAUUUUAAGAUGUAUAUCUGGGCCUGCACCCACGUGGGAGACCUGGAAGAAGCUCCUGGCUCCUGGCUUUGGAUCGAUGCAGCUCCAGCCAUUGCAGCCAUCUGGGGAGUGAACCAGCAGAUGGAAGACUUCUCUCUCCCUCUCUUUCUCUCUCUCUCUCUCUCUCUCAGCCUCUGCCUCUCUGUAACUUUGUCUUUCAAAUAAAUAAAUUUAAAAAAAGACGCA